RNAcentral lists this unclassified non-coding RNA (258 nucleotides) under fungal sp. RNAcentral describes it as "partial internal transcribed spacer region". The stretch from base 1 to 46 matches the Rfam family "Eukaryotic small subunit ribosomal RNA", at positions 1786 to 1831 of the family's 1831-position model. Lineage: Eukaryota; Fungi. The record is from RNAcentral.
AAGUCGUAACAAGGUUUCCGUAGGUGAACCUGCGGAAGGAUCAUUAACACUUUAUUUGUAUUUUUUUUUUAAAAGUAUUAUUUUUAAAUAGUAUUUUUUAAAUAAAAAAACAAAACAAAACCCCACAAUUUUGGAUGAAUUUAAUUUAAUUUUUACUUUUUUAUUUAAAACUCUAUAUAAAUUUGAUUGACUAACAUUUAUUAUUAUUAUUUUAUUAAAUUAAAAAAACAACUCUUAACAACGGAUAUCUUGGCUCUC